UCUUCGUGAUGAAAACCAUAUAUCAGUUCUGCUUCCGAGAGGUCAUGAGCGAUAACCCAAAAUACCAAAAACUCUUUCUGAACU
Molecule: small nucleolar RNA, 84 nt
Filed under: Cutaneotrichosporon oleaginosum
Lineage: Eukaryota; Fungi; Basidiomycota; Tremellomycetes; Trichosporonales; Trichosporonaceae
Source: RNAcentral